This 4172-nucleotide long non-coding RNA is filed under the name Gossypium raimondii (Peruvian cotton). Its description in RNAcentral is "long non-coding RNA (GRAI_LNC008409)". Lineage: Eukaryota; Viridiplantae; Streptophyta; Magnoliopsida; Malvales; Malvaceae. The record is from RNAcentral.
GGGCUUAAGUAGAAAAAUUUAGAGAUUUCUAUUCCCUUCCCUCUUCACCUUUACCCAUUCAUUCCCAUAUCAACCCUAUUUUACCCUCACAAAUUCUCACCUCAAAAACACUCAACGGUAGCCAUUUCUUGCUUCCUCCGACUCCGGUAUUCCAUCCCUUCAUCCAAGGUCAGGUAAACAUUUUUUGGUGUUCUUGUUAAUUUUGUAUUUGUUUAUGGUUUAAGGUAAAUGACGAAAUUCUAAUUUUUUUCCCUUCUUUUAUUUUAUUUUUUUAGAUUUUUUUACUUGAUUGAUCAUCUGGAUGUUUAUGGGUUGUCGGUGCGGUUGAUUUGGGGUUUCGGAUUAUAGUUUAGGGUUGUGAAUUUCCUUUUUCUUUUAAAUUACUUAUUUUAAGUUGAUUGAUGGAACCUUGUGUUGGUAAUAAUUUUCGACUUGGUCGUAAGAUCGGCAGUGGCUCUUUUGGAGAGAUCUAUCUGGGUUCGUCCCAUGCUUUUUUUCUCCCUUUACCUAUUUGAGUGUAAGUUGGUGUUUUUUUUUUUUAUAAUCUCCCUUUUUAGGUACGAACAUUUAGACCAACGAAGAGAUUGCCAUUAAGCUUGUGAGUAGUCUUUGUUUAAAAUUUACUUUCUAUUUUUCUUGAUUUUCUUGCUUUUUGGUUGUUUUCUUGUAUGGUGACUGUAGUUUGUUGCUUUUAAGUUUUAACAUUCUAAAAAGUAGCGAUGUAAUUGCUGCUCUGUUUAGGUUUUAACCUGACCUUGUUUCUAUUAAAUUUCAUGUGUUAACUAAUGUUUAGAACUUAGUGAUACAGUCGAGCCAUGUUGUCAUAAUGUUAAGGUAAGGAGUUGUGGAAAUCUUUUAUUCAUUAGUUAGUUGGCUUCUAGCCGAAGUGCAUGUGAAGGAGAAAUUCUAUUUCGAUUUCUUUGAGGUGGUUCAGGGGAAGCAUGGAAAUUAAUGUUUAUCAAUCAAUCAAUGAUGCUUAUAAGUUUCUGUCAAAAAAAAAAGGCUUCAUAUAAAUGUUUAAGUGGUGAAAAGCCUUUGGAGGAACUGCCCCUAGCAAAAAAAAAAAAAAAACAAAAAACAAAAAACAAAAGAAAAGAAAGAAACGCUGCGACUGAUUUUUCAAAAGCUAUGAGAUCUGAGGCCUUUCUCAUUUCCUUCUACCACUUUUUGCAAAAUACCCAUUUUUUAUAUUUGAUUCUUAAGUCAUUCUUCUUUUACACCGUUGUAGUUUUGUGAAGAAUGAUGAUGCAAGCACGGGGCUUUUGGCAGCUGUAAUCCUGAUGCAAAUUUUCUAUUAAGUAAUUAGCAAAAUGACAGAUUGGCAGUGCGUUUUUCUCAUUGGGAUGUCUUGUUUGAGUUUUUUUGGCUUACUUGGUCUGUGAAUGUUGCCAAUCCCACUGAAUAUAUCUUAUUUGCAGUUUACAAUAUAAAAAUGCAUAGUCUUUGUUGCUAGGUCUAGUAAUUGAUACCUCUCUUGGAACAACUCAGAUAAAGCUUUGUCUUUCCUAAAUGCAAAAUGUAUUUGCUUUGGGACAGGCAUGUUAAACUUUGUUAGGCCUUUUAUGAUGCGCUUCAUGUGUCGAUUUCAUCAAUUGUAGCAUCUUUCUCUUCUUAAAUUGCUACUUUGAAGCAUUGAAAAUUUAGUUGCCUGAGAGUCACUCUUUUUCUUGUGUAACCUGAAUUAGUACUUUCCAUGUUUAUUAUUUGCUUAUAAAUUAUAAAAAAUAUGUUAUCUGGUAAUCCUUAUUGUUCAUCUUGGUUCUACUGAAGCUAGAUACUCAAUCUGUCAUUGGUUUUGAUACUAUCUUCUUAGUAUAUGUUUACAAGAAUUUCAGAGGCUCUGACUAUGGCCAAUGACGAGUUUUUAACAUAGCAAAUAAUGGUCAAAUGUAGAUCACUCUACAUGAGUAUUUGUUAACUUGCAGAGGCAUACCAAUUAUUCGAUAUGCGGUUAGCAUGUUUCUUUGAUAGAUUGAUUUGUUUUAAGAUGUAUUACUUGUGCUUUAAUUUUGUAUAAAGUUGGUUUCUUAUUUUAGUGUGUAUAUUGAAGAUGGAUGUUGUUAUUUUCCAUGUCAAAUCGAUCGUGGGUGUUAAGCUAGCCAGGUUUUUUACUACUUUCUUUCUUGAUGAAUUAGUUAGUUUGUGACUGAUUAGAGGAUUAUGUCCGACAUUUUUAGUUUAAUUUUCACCUUUGUCCCUGCCUUCUGUUUGAGUAUUUUAAUUUGAUCUAUGUUUUAGUUAAAUGAGUGGUUGAAGGUAGCAACAAGUAGGGGAAAAAUAUCACUCAAGGUUGUGCUAAGGUAGCAACAAGACAAUAUAUACAUGUUAAACUACAUUUACAAUUUGGAUUUGAUCUUUUUACUUUAAACAAGAACAUUUUGGUUAUAUUUAAUUUUCGAUAUGUUUUUAUUUUUGAUAUGUUUCAUUUAAAACUAUUGUAAUCUUUUAAUAUAUUUUUAAACUAUUUUUAUUUUCGAUAUCUUUAAUUUAUGUUAUAUUUAAUUUUGGUCUUCAAACAAUGUUUUAUGUUACUUAUAUUGUUUGAUUAAAAAUUAUAAUUAACAUUACAAAAAUUAUCUCAAUAAACGAAACAAAAAAAAGUAAGUACAAUGCUACAAACAAAUCAUGUUAUGGUAAGAAUGUAAUGUAUAUGGAGUUUUUAGAUUUUAUUUAAAUACAAAUAAUAAUCCAAUCUUUUAAAAUACAUAAUUUUUAAGAUAUUUAACACACUAUAUACCUAUAAUCGAAUUGAAUUAAUACAAAAUGAAAAAAAUUAAGACAUUAUUUUCUUUUCUAAUAAAAAUUAUUAAAUUCAUAUUAUUUUUUUCAUUUAGUGACUAUGAAUAAUUUAGUGACUAUGACUAUGACUAUGACUCAAGGAGACAACUCUGAAUGAACUAUAAAUAAUAAUGGGAUUGUAGAGAAUGUUGCAUAUGAACAUGAAAUAUAUUAAAUUAAUGAUUAAAUUUAUUUAUUUAAAUUCAGAAAAUUCAAAUACGAAGCUAGAUCGAGGAAAAGAAAAAGUUCUGGAUUAGUAGAUUUUUACAUACAAACAAGUAUCGAGGUAAGUUUAUGUAACUUGAAUUAUAUUCUUAAAUGCUUGAAAUAUAUUUUUCUUGAUGUGAAUAUGAUUUGGAUGUUUAUUGUAUGAUAAUUGAUGAAAUAUUGAUAUUCUUGAUGAAAAGAGAAAAUAAAUCCCGGUUGAAUGAAAGGACAAUUCGAUGGAUCUUUGAAAAGGAAUUGACGGUAAAAAGGAUCUAACCCGGACGGGUGAUCUUAUCCUGAUAUAGCACUCCCGAAUAAUAUGUGGAAAAUGGAUUUAGCCCGGACGGGUAAUUCGAAUUAGGGUCUGAAUUUAUCUUAGACUGGUAAUUCAAAUCCAAGCUCAUUAGAGUAAUUGUCAUUGCAGGGAUUUAGCUUGGACUGGUAAUCCCGACAAUACUCUAUGAGUUUAUAUUACAGGGGAUUUAGCCUGGAUUGAUAAUCCCGCUGUGAGGAUGAAGUUCGCAGGAGUGUGCUCUCUGAAAUGGAAAUGUGUGCACAUGAAUAUGAAUUGACGGAUCUUGAUUUGUACACUAAAGUGUACCCCUGAAAAUCCAUCGAAAUUUAGAGAAAUUCAACGGGAUAAAUAUGGAAAAAUAAUAAGGAAAUGGAAAUCAUGGUAUUGAUGAGCUCAUCAAUCAUGGUAUUUAUAUUAUUGAUACAUGGAAAUUAUUGAACUAACUUAAAUAUUGAGUUUGUGCAUGUCAAGGGAAUAAUGCAUUGAAUGGAUGUAUGAAUGUUUAUUGCAUUGUAUUGAAAAUAUUAAGGAAGUAUAAUUCUUAUUACAUGAGCUUACUAAGCACAAAUUGCUUACCCUGUUUCUUUUUCCCCUGUGUUGUAGUGUUAAGAGCUUGAAGGUUGGAUUUGGUCGGAGACGCAUCACACUAUCAACCUCAAGAUCUCGGUAUAUAAAGACACUUUAUUUUGGAAAUCAAUGGCAUGUAUAAGCUAGUAAAGUAAAUGUUAAUUUGAAAUGAAUGUAUGGUUAGGCAUUAGUAUGGCUAACAAAUUGUGAUUUUGGUAUGUGAUGAGGUUGUCUUAUGAAUAUGUUAAAUCUAUCAUAAAAAUAUGUUGAAAUGGAUUGGUUGUGUUGGAUUGGUCUCGAUUUAAAAUUGCAGGGAAGAUUAGAU